This 253-nucleotide ribosomal RNA is filed under the name uncultured bacterium. RNAcentral's name for it is "partial 16S ribosomal RNA". It matches the Rfam family "Bacterial small subunit ribosomal RNA", at positions 524 to 776 of the family's 1533-position model. The record is from RNAcentral.
UACAGAGGUGGCAAGCGUUGUUCGGAAUUACUGGGCGUAAAGGGCGCGUAGGCGGCCUUCUAAGUCAGACGUGAAAUCCCCCGGCUUAACCUGGGAACUGCGUCUGAUACUGGGAGGCUUGAGUAUGGGAGAGGGAUGUAGAAUUCCAGGUGUAGCGGUGAAAUGCGUAGGUAUCUGGAGGAAUACCGGUGGCGAAGGCGGCAUCCUGGGUCAAGAUUGACGCUCAUGCACGAAAGCGUGGGGAGCAAACAGG